CAGCAGAAUUUGUACGUUCUUUUGGCUGCACCGCGUGAAGGAAGCAGGACUGGUUCGUGAGCACUCAGCUCGUCGUCGAAAAUUCCCUCUUUUCAGAGGCAUUACGCCUUCCGACAGCAGUUUGACCAUCAUGAAGUUGAUGAAAAAGGAAAAGGAGUACGAGGACAUUGGGAGAAAAAAGAAACUUGUAUGCGAGAUAAUCCUUCAAGAAACAUUUGAAGAUGCUUGUGGAAAGAAUGGGAGUGCAAGUAUGCAGAAAUACUGAGUACAAGUAUACAGGAACACCGAGGAAUUAAGAUAGUUCAAGAAACACUUGAAGAUGCUUGUGGAAAGAGUAGGAGUGCAAGUAUGCAGGAAUACUGUAUACAAGCAUGCAGGAAUACUGAGUGUUAAGACUUCUCAAGAAGCAUUGGAAGAUGCUUGUGUACAGAAUUGACAAAAAUGCUUCUAUUUUUGGCAGUCAUUAUUUCGCAGUCAAGUGACAAUAACAUGAAAGUAUGAACCAAUGAUAGUUCAAGAAACGCGUGAAGAUGCUUGUGGAAAGAAUAGGAGUGCAAGUAUGCAGGAAUACUGUAUACAAGUAUGCAGGAAUACUGAGGAGUUAAGUCUGAUGAGACUGGUCUAAUAAAGCCUGCUUGGUUCACCAUCUAAGUCAUCAGCAAGAAAUAGCACAUCAAACUGAAGACCAAGUUAGGAAUCCCAAGCUGGUCAUACAAAGCAACAUCAACAAUGUUUCAAGCAUAAAAGACGAAUCUCGGAGCAUCUUUCUUGGAGCACUGUAUGAUGAUGAAAAUGGUCUGUGGUACUGUGAUAUACAACAACCGGGAUAGUUGAGUAUAGAGAUAUCAACACAACUAAUUCAUUCUUGACAGAUAUAAAGAUCGCGUCAUGGAGUUUCUUGCCUCUGCUUGCAGGCUAUUGCGACGUAAUCUGUCUUUUCUAGUGAAUGAACGGUCUCGUGAUACGCAACCAACGUGAUGCUGGGGAUAUCAGCAUUUCUCAUUCCUCCUGAAAAGAUUUUGCCUCUGACAUCCGGAAUUAGAUCUUACAAGAAAUUAAAAUUGGAUCGUAACGUCGGCUGAUACGAGUAAGGCUGACCAUAAUCCAAGAGAUGAUGACCAUGACCCACUACACCAAGGUCAAAGAUUGUUCUGUUGAUUUUCUGCGGCGGCAUUGCUGAUGAUUCUUUUAGGCUUUUGUUUCGGACUGCUGCAAAUUUAUUUUAGUGUUUUUAUUUUUUAAAAUUAUUUAAUUAUGUUUGUUAAUUUUGUUUAAACAUUGGGUGUGUGUUAGAUAUUAAUUAUACCAGUAAAACAAUUCAGUUGACUUCUGUAAAACAAGACCACUGGGACUGGCCAAAUUACCAGGACACAAGAACUAAAGAAACACAAAGAAGAAAUGAGUUUUGGGACUUACGGAAGGUACUCUUUCAGAACCUCCAACAGUGGUACUUAGAAUGAGGGUUGAAUGUAUGUGUGUUAUAAAUAGUUUGAGGGAGAUUGACACAUUUGCAUGACAUUGGGGAUAACAAAUAAUAAUUUUGGUUGUGCACCAAAAAUGCAAAGGUCGUGGGUUUGAAUCCCAGGCAAGUAAUAUUUUUUUCACGGAACUCGAGAAAGUACUGAGAAUACUUGCAGUGCUAAUCUGUGUAAGGUGAAAACCAUCAUUAAAGACACUAAACACUAUUGAUAAUUGUCAAAAACCAGUCUUCUCACUUGCUGUAGCUCUACAUAUGCAUUAAAUAACAAGCAUGUG
This is a long non-coding RNA of Asterias rubens (European starfish), 1755 nucleotides long. RefSeq lists it as uncharacterized. The transcript is spliced from 20 exons. The record is from RefSeq and is a predicted model, not a curated record. NCBI's taxonomy places the organism in Eukaryota, Metazoa, Echinodermata, Asteroidea, Forcipulatida, Asteriidae.